UUGGUUUCACUCUAGUCAGAAAAGUGGCUCCUAUGUUUCCAGGAUUUGAUCUUAAGCACAUUUAAAUUCUCUAGUUUUUAGUGUCUUCAAAACUGAAAAAGAUAAAUUAUAAUAUCUUAAUUUGGAGUUCUCUUUUUCCACUCUGUUGCUUUCUUUCAGAGCUGGACAGCCUAAGUGACCCAACUCACUCGGAGUAGAAGUCCCACUAAAAUAAUGAUACUUAUGGUGAUGGUAACAUUUUCUGAGCUCAACAAAUGCCUAUCACUGCUCUAUGUGCAUUUUUUAUCCUCAUCAAUCAGCUAUUGUUAUCUUCAAUCUUUACAAAUAAGGAAGUAGAGCUCUGAGAGGGUAAGAGAUUUGCCUCAGGUCACACAGUUUAUAAAUGGCUGACAUUGGAAUCAAACCCCGGCCUUCUACCAACGCACUGAAUUGCCUGUUGGUUAAAAUUACUGUUAAGGCUGAAUUGUGUCUCCUCAAAAUUCAGGUGACCCCAGGACCUCAGAAAAUGACUGCAUUUGGAGAUAGGGCCUUUGAAGAGGUGACUGAGUUAAGAUGAGGCCGUUAGAAUGAGCCCUAACCGCAUCUGCCUGGGGUCCCUGUAAGAGGAACACGAGAGCUGAGCCCACACAGAGACAGAGAGGCCAUGUGAGGAUGCAACGGGAAGGAGGCUGUCCACACGCUGAAGAGUGAGGCCUCGGGAGACAUCAGCUUAGCCAGCACCUGGAGCUUCUAGAACAUGGGAAAAAUACAUCCUCUUGUUCAAACCAUCGAAUCUAAGGUCCAUGUUAGGCAGAAAGAGGGAUUGAUUCUCAAGGAGCUAUAGUUCGUCCAUCCUUCUUAGAUCUGUAUUUCUCAAAGUGAAAUGGAAUCACUGAGGAGCUCCUUAAAAAUGAUGAUGCAAGAUGAUAAAAUGUCCACGUGAUGAGAUGAAGUGAAGUGAAUGACAUAGGCACUGUGACAGAGCUUUAGGUUACUCUUGACCUUCUGAUAUGACAGAAGAAAGAUCAUCUGCUUCUAGACCACGGUUGACCACAGAUUGAAGGUUUGUGGCAAACCUGCAUUAAAACAAGUCUACAGACCUCAUUUCUCCAACAGCAUUUGCUCACGUCAUGUCUUUAUGUCACAUUCUGAUGGUGCAAUAAAGACCUAAAAAUAUCAAAGAAGUUUUCUGAAACAUUACAAAAUGGCCUUUUGAAAUGGACCCGAUGAAGUUUGUCCCUGCCAGGUCUCCUGUACCCUUUGCCCAGUGCUCCCAUGCCUGUCAAAUAUGUCAAAAACAGAGGGGAUUUUCAUCAAUUGUGUUGGCUCCUUCCUUCACUUCCUGGAACUCAUGUGAGGUGAACAUGUCAGCACCAUAGAGGAAGCCACAGGAACAGGAGAGGAGAGGGGAGCAAUGGCAACCCCUAGUCAGGGAAGGCACUUCUGUGGGGACAUGUUCUUGUCAGAUUCAGAUUCAGAAAAAUGCCUUGCCCUUGUCUAGGUCCCUCAUGAAACCCCGAGGACACAAGCACCUGUAAAUUUGGGGGCUGGCGGCUUCCAUUGCCGCCCGUUUGAGACAAGAGGGAAUCUUUGAGUUUGAGGGGGCUGGAGUGGGAAAUGAAGGUCUGGGUAACGGACGCGAUCUCUAGUUUUUCCCCUUGCAAUGUUAGUUCACAUAUCAUAAAAUCCACUCUUUAAAAGUAUGCAAUUCAGUGGUUUUUAAUGUAUUCUGAAUUGUGUGACUGUCACCACAGUCUAAUUCCAGAACAUUUUCAUCACCUCGGAAGGAAAUCUCAUGCCCAUUAGCAGUCAUCCCCCAAUCUUCCCUCCAGCCCCUGGCAAUCAUUUUUGUCUCUAUGGACUUGUCUACUUUGUCUGUUUUGGGCAUUUCAAAUGAAUUACUUUUAUUUGAAUGUGACUUUUUGUGAUUAUAACAUUCCCAAGGUUCUUCCACGUUGUGGCAUCUA
This is a long non-coding RNA of Canis lupus familiaris (dog), 1946 nucleotides long. RefSeq lists it as uncharacterized. Lineage: Eukaryota; Metazoa; Chordata; Mammalia; Carnivora; Canidae. The record is from RefSeq and is a predicted model, not a curated record. The transcript is spliced from 6 exons.